Molecule: ribosomal RNA, 253 nt
Filed under: uncultured bacterium
Lineage: Bacteria
Description: partial 16S ribosomal RNA
Rfam family: Bacterial small subunit ribosomal RNA
Source: RNAcentral
UACGUAGGGUGCGAGCGUUAAUCGGAAUUACUGGGCGUAAAGCGUGCGCAGGCGGCUUUGCAAGACAGAUGUGAAAUCCCCGGGCUCAACCUGGGAACUGCAUUUGUGACUGCAUGGCUAGAGUGCGGCAGAGGGGGAUGGAAUUCCGCGUGUAGCAGUGAAAUGCGUAGAGAUGCGGAGGAACACCGAUGGCGAAGGCAGCCCCCUGGGCUAGCACUGACGCUCAGGCACGAAAGCGUGGGGAGCAAACAGG